ACAGAGUAAGAAUAGGAAUAGAAUAAGAAGAAUAGGCAUAAGAAUAAAGAAUAUCAAAAUAAGAGUAAAAAUAUUUAAAGGAAUAAAAAAAGCGUAAGAAAAAACAUAAGAUGAAAAGCAUAAGAAAGCGCAAGAAAAACGACUGAAAUACAGUCCUCAAAACUACCACAGCCAAAGAGACAGCAUCGAGCCCAGGAUCGGCGUUGGUUGAACAUGGAUCCGACCUCUAUCGCAUCGCACCCUCCCCAACUCACAAGAGUCACUUCUAGCGAUGAGUGUGCAGAGCUCGACAAAGACCAUCUCCAGGUGGAUAAUCAGCGUUAAUGGGCUCUGGGAAAACCAUGUAUUCACAUGUAUGAUCCUGGCGUCCUUGGCUACCUUGAUUGAUGUUAUCUGCAGCACAAUGAUGAUGGCUCUGAGGUGGUUUCCAACUACUCAGAUACCAGUGAAAAGCUAUAGUGAAUUUUUUAUUUUCUGAAGUUAAAUUUAGCAGUGCCAUCUCAGGUUUCGGCAGUUUAUUGACAAUUCAGGACACUGAUUUACUCGGAACAUCACUCAUAAAGUCAUUAAAACAUAAAUUCUGGGUGUCACCCAAUAUAUUCCAGAUUUUUUGCAUUUAUUGUGCUUGUUGAUGUAGCAAACCAAUAUUCACCAAAGAGCAUCUUGAUUUAAGUCUGGGUCAAAGUGAGGGCCAGAAAGGAAGAAAGAUCUGUUGUAUUGGCUGCAGAAAAAGAUUUAUCCCAUUUAUCAUUUAUCCCAUGAAAACAAAAGGCUGUCAUUCCAUAGAAAAGCUGUUUUUGCUAAACCUUCACAUGUGCCCCAAAAGAAGCAAAAAAAUUUGAAGGCUCUGAA
This is a long non-coding RNA of Zonotrichia leucophrys gambelii, 852 nucleotides long. RefSeq lists it as uncharacterized. The record is from RefSeq and is a predicted model, not a curated record. NCBI's taxonomy places the organism in Eukaryota, Metazoa, Chordata, Aves, Passeriformes, Passerellidae. The transcript has 3 exons.